ACGGCCUCUGCUAAAGAGGAGGAAGGAAUGGGCAACGGUAGGUCAGCAUGCCCCGAAUUAUCCGGGCUACACGCGGGCUACAAUGGUCAGGACAAUGGGUAUCGACACCGAGAGGUGGAGGCAAUCUCCUAAACCUGUCCUUAGUUCGGAUUGUGGGCUGCAACUCGCCCACAUGAAGCUGGAAUCCGUAGUAAUCGCGUUUCAACAGAACGCGGUGAAUACGUCCCUGCUCCUU
Molecule: ribosomal RNA, 235 nt
Filed under: uncultured Methanolinea sp.
Lineage: Archaea; Methanobacteriati; Methanobacteriota; Methanomicrobia; Methanomicrobiales; Methanoregulaceae
Description: partial 16S ribosomal RNA
Rfam family: Archaeal small subunit ribosomal RNA
Source: RNAcentral